UCAUCAGUAUCAUCUGCUCUUCUUGUUACUUUGUCACUGCUGACUUCUGUGGCUUCUCUCCCACACCUAGGCUUUGGCUAGCCUAGACCCGGGAAGGAGAUGAACCUGAG
Molecule: microRNA precursor, 110 nt
Organism: Cricetulus griseus (Chinese hamster)
Lineage: Eukaryota; Metazoa; Chordata; Mammalia; Rodentia; Cricetidae
Source: Ensembl